GACGAACGCUGGCGGCGUGCCUAAUACAUGCCAGUAGAACGCACAGUUUAUACCGUAGCUUGCUACACCAUAAACUGUGAGUUGCGAACGGGUGAGUAACGCGUAGGUAACCUGCCUGGUAGCGGGGGAUAACUAUUGGAAACGAUAGCUAAUACCGCAUAAUAUUGAUUAUUGCAUGAUAAUUGAUUGAAAGAUGCUAUUGCAUCACUACCAGAUGGACCUGCGUUGUAUUAGCUAGUAGGUGAGGUAACGGCUCACCUAGGCGACGAUACAUAGCCGACCUGAGAGGGUGAUCGGCCACACUGGGACUGAGACACGGCCCGGACUCCUACGGGAGGCAGCAGUAGGGAAUCUUCGGCAAUGGACGAAAGUCUGACCGAGCAACGCCGCGUGAGUGAAGAAGGUUUUCGGAUCGUAAAGCUCUGUUGUAAGAGAAGAACGGGUGUGAGAGUGGAAAGUUCACACUGUGACGGUAUCUUACCAGAAAGGGACGGCUAACUACGUG
RNAcentral lists this ribosomal RNA (505 nucleotides) under uncultured bacterium. Its description in RNAcentral is "partial 16S ribosomal RNA". It matches the Rfam family "Bacterial small subunit ribosomal RNA", at positions 28 to 507 of the family's 1533-position model. The record is from RNAcentral.